Molecule: long non-coding RNA, 516 nt
Filed under: Mytilus galloprovincialis (Mediterranean mussel)
Lineage: Eukaryota; Metazoa; Mollusca; Bivalvia; Mytilida; Mytilidae
Source: RNAcentral
UAUGAAUGAUUUUUAUACGACCGCAAAAUUUGAAAAAUUUUUCGUCGUAUAUUGCUAUCACGUUGGCGUCGGCGUCGUCGUCGUCGUCGUCGUCGUCGUCGUCCGAAUACUUUUAGUUUUCGCACUCUAACUUUAGUAAAAGUGAAUGGAAAUCUAUGAAAUUUUAACACAAGGUUUAUGACCACAAAAGGAAGGUUGGUAUUGAUUUUGGGAGUUUUGGUCCCAACAUUUUAGGAAUUAGGGGCCAAAAAGGGCCCAAAUAAGCAUUUUCUUGGUUUUCGCACUAUAACUUUAGUUUAAGUUAAUAGAAAUCUAUGAAAUUUUUGACACAAGGUUUAUGACCACAAAAGAACGGUUGGGAUUGAUUUUGGGAGUUUUGGUUUCAACAGUUUAGGAAUUAGGGGCCAAAAAAGGGCCCAAAUAAGCAUUAUUCUUGGUUUUCGCACAAUAACUUUAGUUUAAGUAAAUAGAAAUCAAUGAAAUUUAAACACAAUGUUAAUGACUACAAAAGGAAGG